AUCAUGGAGAGUUUGAUCCUGGCUCAGGACGAACGCUGGCGGCGUGCUUAAUACAUGCAAGUCGAACGAGGACCGGGUGCUUGCAUCCGGAGCCGAGUGGCGAACGGGUGAGUAACACGUGACCAAUCUACCCUUGGGAGAGG
RNAcentral lists this ribosomal RNA (143 nucleotides) under Gemmatimonadota bacterium. RNAcentral describes it as "Gemmatimonadetes bacterium partial 16S ribosomal RNA". It matches the Rfam family "Bacterial small subunit ribosomal RNA", at positions 1 to 141 of the family's 1533-position model. Lineage: Bacteria; Pseudomonadati; Gemmatimonadota. The record is from RNAcentral.